RNAcentral lists this ribosomal RNA (236 nucleotides) under uncultured bacterium. RNAcentral describes it as "partial 16S ribosomal RNA". It matches the Rfam family "Bacterial small subunit ribosomal RNA", at positions 100 to 334 of the family's 1533-position model. The record is from RNAcentral.
CGGGACGGGUGAGUAACGCGUGGGUAACCUGCCUCAUACAGGGGGAUAACGGUUAGAAAUGACUGCUAAUACCGCAUAAGCGCACAGUACCGCAUGGUACCGUGUGAAAAACUCCGGUGGUAUGAGAUGGACCCGCGUCUGAUUAGCUAGUUGGUGAGGUAACGGCCCACCAAGGCGACGAUCAGUAGCCGACCUGAGAGGGUGACCGGCCACAUUGGGACUGAGACACGGCCCGG